AUGUGCUGGAGGAGUAAAAUCCUCAGAGCUCGCCUUGGAGUCCAGCAAGCAACACCAGGGUUUGGUUCAGUGGAACCAGUGCUGCUGUCUCCCUGGCAGAUCUGGAGAUCUUCAAGCUACAUGAAAUUCUUUCACCACAAGGCCAAGAGUGAGAACAAGGCUUCCCAUCACAUACGGGAAGGUGAAGCGUUCAGGCAGCUUGGCAGAAACUCAAGGGAACAGAAGAAUUAAGUGUAUUUUUUUUGGUGAAGUUUUGAGAUCCCUGUACAAAGUUUUGGAUUUGAGGUAAUUGCAUUAUCUAAACACAUGGGCUCUUCACACGUUUUCUUAGAGAGGCACUCCUGAUGCCAGGUCAGUGUCCCAGUGUGUCUGUGCAUGGAACAGAUUUUUAUGACAG
RNAcentral lists this long non-coding RNA (397 nucleotides) under Corvus moneduloides (New Caledonian crow). RNAcentral describes it as "lncRNA (ENSCMUG00000007094.2)". The record is from RNAcentral. Lineage: Eukaryota; Metazoa; Chordata; Aves; Passeriformes; Corvidae.